This 253-nucleotide ribosomal RNA is filed under the name uncultured bacterium. RNAcentral describes it as "partial 16S ribosomal RNA". It matches the Rfam family "Bacterial small subunit ribosomal RNA", at positions 524 to 776 of the family's 1533-position model. The record is from RNAcentral.
UACAGAGGUCCCGAGCGUUGUUCGGAUUCACUGGGCGUAAAGGGUGCGUAGGCGGUUUGUCGCGUCGGCUGUGAAAACUCGGGGCUCAACCCCGAGCCUGCAGUCGAUACGGGCAAACUAGAGUGUGGUAGGGGAGACUGGAAUUCCUGGUGUAGCGGUGAAAUGCGCAGAUAUCAGGAGGAACACCGGUGGCGAAGGCGGCUCUCUGGACGGUGACUGACGCUGAGACGCGAAAGCGUGGGGAGCAAACAGG